This is a long non-coding RNA of Oncorhynchus tshawytscha (Chinook salmon), 4567 nucleotides long. The record is from Ensembl. Lineage: Eukaryota; Metazoa; Chordata; Actinopteri; Salmoniformes; Salmonidae.
AGCUUGUCGGUAGCCAAUAGCCUUUCCCUCAGGUUUUAGAAAUCCUGUCUCAACUCCCCUCAUUGCCGCAGCCUGAUGUUGUUAGUACUGGCAUGCAUGACCACCGUGUGCAGCUCCGGAUUUCAGUCUAGGAUGGCCGUAAGCUCCCGGUAAUGUCACACACCCUGGCUUCAGGGAAGCAGAAAGUCUUUGCCCCAACAACCACCACAUCCCGGACAAUGGAACUCCCGACGAUGGCUACCUUGGGAGGAGGGGUCGUGGAUUCCCAGAGCCAGAGAUCCUGGAUGGCUGAUGUAUGAAGGGGGCGUGGUUGGCUCAGCAACCCAGGAUCAGAGGUUGAGUGGGAAGGGCGUGGGGGGGCGGAGUAGGUCAUUUGACAGAGGGCCCCAGUGAAGUCAGGAGGCUCAGAGCCGAAAAACGGUUAGGGAGCCGUAGGUCUGAACGAGUGGGAGGGGGAAAAUUCAUUGGAAUCGUCCUCAUCUCUUCCUUCUAACUCGAUUCCACUUUACUUCUGAUGGUGUAGAAGAAAAUGCAGUAGAUCUCUGGUUCUUGUCGGUGGGAUGUGAAAGUGGUCCAAGGUAGUAUCCACAGUAGCUACUGCAGAGGAGCCCAAUCUCGUAGAGCACCCAGAAUUUCCCCUCGGUCAUUUAGAAUUGUCGCAUCAAAAAUAGCAUGCAGUCUUGAAGUCUCCUUAGCCAGAGCGUGAUGUUCUCUUAGGACCCUGUUCUCCUCUAGUAGCUCAAUGAUCCUGGCCCUUUGAGGCACGGAGCUGUUUGCGUUUAUCACAAGUAUAUAGGAGGGGUGCGUCACUUGAGUGGGUUGAGUCAAUGACGUGAUCUUCCUGACCGGGUUGGCGCCCCCCUCUUGCGUUGUGCCAUGGCGGAGAUCUUUGUGGGCUAUACUCGGCCUUGUCUCAGGAUGGUAAGUUGGUGGUUGAAUAUAUUCCUCUAGUGGUGUGGGGGCUGUGCUUUGGCAAAGUGGGUGGGGUUAUAUCCUACCUGUUUGGCCCUGUCCCGGGGUAUCGUCGGAUGGGGCCACAGUGUUUCCCGACCCCUCCUGUCUAAGCCUCCAGUAUUUAUGCUGCAGUAGUUUAUGUGUCGGGGGGCUAGGGUCAGUCUGCUAUAUCUGGAGUACUUCUCCUGUCUUAUCCGGUGUCCUGUGUGAAUAUAAGUAUGUUCUCUCUAAUUCUCUCUCUCUUUCUCUCUUUUCCUUUCUUUCUUUCUUUCUUUCUUUCUUUCUUUCUUUCUCUGUCUCGGAGGACCUGAGCCCUAGGACCAUGCCUCGGGACUACCUGGCCUGGUGACUCCUUGCUGUCCCCAGUCCACCUGGCCGUGCUGCUUGCUCCAGUUUCAACUGUUCUGCCUGCGGCUAUGGAACCCUGACCUGUUCACCGGACAUGCUACCUGUCCCAGACCUGCUGUUUUCAACUCUCUAGAGACAGCAGGAGCGGUAGAGAUACUCUGAAUGAUCGGCUAUGAAAAGUCAACUGACAUUUACUCCUGAGGUGCUGACCUGUUGCACUCUCGACAUCCACUGUGAUUGUUAUUAUUUGACCCUGCUGGUCAUCUAUGAACAUUUGAACAUCUUGGCCAUGUUCUGUUACAAUCUCCACCCGGCACAGCCAGAAGAGGACUGGCCACCCAUCAUAGCCCAGUUUCUCUCUAGAUUUCUUCCUAGGUUCUGGCCUUUCUAGGGAGUUUUUCCUAGCCACCUUGCUUCUAGACCUGCUUUACUUGCUGUUUGGGGUUUUAGGCUGGGUUUCUGUACAGAACUUUGUGACAUCAGCUGAAGUAAGAAGGCAUUUAUAAAUACAGUACAUUUGAUUGAUUGACAAAAAAUUUUUUUUUAAUUGUCAUACUUGAGUAAAAGUAAAGAUACCUUCAUACAAAAUCAGUCAAGUAAAAGUGAAAGUCAUCCAGUAAAAUACUACUUGAGUAAAAGUCUAAAAGUAUUUGGUUUAAAAUAUACUUAAGCAUCAAAAGUAAAUGUAAUUGCUCACAUAUAUACUUAACUAUCAAAUUUUGAAACUAUUAUUUCAAAUGUCUUAUAUUAAGCAAACCAUUAUUAUAUAUUUUUUUAUAUUUUAAUUUAUGGAUAGCCAGGGACACACUCCAACACUCAGACAUAAUUCACAAAUAAAGCAUGUGUUUGGUGAGUCCGCCAGAUCAGUGGCAGUAGGGAUGACCAGGAAUGUUCUCUUGAUAAGUGCUAACAAUUCAUAAUGUUGCUUGUCAGGGAAAAUGUUUGUAGUAAAAAUGUGCAUUAUAGUAUAGUGAAGUAAAAGUUGUAAAGUACAGAUACCCCAAAAAACGACUCAAGUAGUACUUUCAAGUAUUUUUACUUAAAUACGUUACACCCCUUUUUACAAAUGUUGUAUUUUGGGUUCUGAUGGGGUACGACAGUUGAACUAAGCUCAUGAUACAUUUGCAUGUUAUAUUCUUUAAGAAUCAAUGGGUAUACCCUGAGUGUACAAAACAUGAAGAACUCCUUCCUAAUAUUGAGUUGCACCCACCCUUUUGCCCUCAGAAUAGCCUCAAUUUGUCAGAGCAUGGACUCUACAAGGUUUCGAAAGCGUUCCACAGGGAUGUUGGCCAAUGUUGACUCCAAUGCUUCCAAAUAGAUGUGUCAAGUUGGCUGGAUGUCCUUUGGGUGGUGGACCAUGCUUGAUAAACAUGGGAAACUGUUGUGUGUGAAAAACCAGGAAGAGUUGCAUUUCUUGAAAGACUCAAGCCGGUUUACUUUGCACCAACUACCAUACCCUGUUGAAAGGCACUUGAAUAUGUUGUCUUGCCCAUUCACCCUCUGAAUGGCACACAUACACAUUCCAUGUCUAAAGUUGCCUAAAGUUGUCUAAAGGCUUUAAAAUAAUUUUUGAACUUUACUUCUCCCCUUCAUCUACACUGAUUGAAGUGGAUUUAACAAGUGACAUCAAUAAGAGAUUAUAGGUUUCACCUAGAUUCACCUAGUCAGUCUAUGUCAUGGAAAGAGCAGGUGUCCUUAAUGUUUAGUACACUCAGUGUAUAUCAUUACUGUCACAUCCUGAUCUGUUUCACCGGUCUUUGUGCUUGUCUCCACACCCCUCCAGGUGUUGCCCAUCUUCCCCAUUAUCCCCAGUGUAUUUAUACCUGUGUUCUCUAUUUGUCUGUUGCCUGUUUGUGUUGUUCAUCAAGCCUAGCAGCGGUUUUCCCCUGGCUCCUGUGUGUUUCUAGUUCCUGUUUUCUAGUUUUCACAGUUUUGACCAUUCUGCCUGCCCUGAGCCUGCCUGCCGUUCUGUACCUUUAGGAAUGAUCUGGAUUACUGACCUCUGCCUGCUCUUGACCUGUCGUUUUGCCUGCCUGUGAAGCAGUAACAAAAGCGGAGGAUCGGACAGUGAGGAAACAGACAGGAUGUCCUGGUGCUCACCUCUCUUAGGGGCUUUCAUUUACAAUAUUAACAAGUUUACGAAUAAUUGGCCAAUAAACCUUGUACAGAAAAUAACAAAUGGGACAUUGACAAAGACUUGAAUAAAUCAAACAUAUUCUCAGUAUAAAUUAUUCCGGCAACAAAUCUUUGCCUACAACAAAGCACAGGUAUAACUCUGCUCUAGCCAACCUGUUGCCUGCUCUCCCCCAGGGAAAAGCCAAAUGAGCACCUAAGUACUCUUUCCAGGAACGCUCUUCAGCUAAGAAUGUUCCAUCAUGAUAGCCACAAAACACAUUUCUACCAUAAUGCAUAAUUUCCCAUGGACAUAUAUCAUAAACAACAGUUUUACAUAAACACACUCUUCAAUAACUUGUGCCAUAACUUCUACUUUAAGUCACACAAUACACAUUCAUGAAGUAAUUCACCGCCACAAUAAUUCAUCCCUUUUUGUUAUUCCCGGUAACCAAUAAAUGUUCCUUGAUGACUCAUAGACUAAUUUGCCUCAUGCAUGCUUAAUGCACACCGACACUUCAACAAGGAAACAGCACGGCGCUUCAGACAAACAGAGGUAGGUUAAAUUAUAUGGUUAUACUCUACUAAUACUUCAAUUGUUAUUCUAAUAAUACAUUUCACAAUGCUAGAGCAUGUACAUUUAAAUGGGCAGCUUUAUACACAGUAGAAACAUUGUUAGCAAGUUACAUUGUUUUAGUAACUGGCGUGCGCAAAACAAACAUUAGACUUUGGCGCAGUAUUGUUGGCAAAUGGAAUGUGCUACUCAAUCCAACAUUCGCUUUGGUUUCAGGAUUCUUGGCUAUACCUUGAAGAGAUACAAUAAAGAGUCUUCCUUCAACCAAUAAUUUGUUUCAGUGUCAUUGUCUACAAGUCAUGGACAUGCGCUCCGUGAUACUGCCCGUGUUCCAGUAAUAAACUUUUGUUACUUCGACACUGUCUGCAUCUGGGUUUUCCCUGAAAUGCAUGAGCACUAACUGGCCAUGACUGACCCAGCAGACUCUGACCAGCUCCACAACGCCAUCUACUCCCAAGGAGCCAACAUUGGAAGGAACGAGGGUUCCAGACCUUGGCUGAACGGCAUGACUGAGCGUUUGAAGACAUUGCUGGAGCAAUUCCGCGGGUUGUCUGUUAGGCAGCCUACCGCAAGAUGGCG